This is a non-coding RNA of Coturnix japonica (Japanese quail), 1468 nucleotides long. The record is from RefSeq and is a predicted model, not a curated record. NCBI's taxonomy places the organism in Eukaryota, Metazoa, Chordata, Aves, Galliformes, Phasianidae.
GGGGAUCCCUCCGCGCCGGCCCGGCCGGAUCUAUGGGAGGGGCGGGGAUGGCGGCGCCGCGGGCAUAGCACGGCGGGACGGAGAGAUGGGGGCGGGGACUACUUUAUGGCGGCGCAGGGAUCCCGGGAGGGAGGCGGCGCACCGCGGCUGUGAGCCCGGGACUGCGGUCGCCAUUAGGGCGGCGGGGCUGUGAGGGAGGUGGCGGUGUGAUGGCGGUGUGAUGGCAGCCGCUGCGCCUCAGUGCUUCCAGCCGGGUCACGUCGGGCUGACGGGAGGUGGGCGGCAGGCGGGGAUGCGGCGCUGAGCCAGCUCCAGCUCCAGCUCCGGGUGGAUGGUGGGACGCGCUGCCUUCUCUCUUCAAACCGCGCGUUUGUUUGUUUAUGUACGUAUGUGUGUAUGUAUGUAUGCAUGUACGUUUUCAGUGCUGUCUCAGAACACGCUUAAGGUCUUAAGGAUGAACAGCUGAGAGCACCUGCAGAGCGGGUGAGUGACCCAAGUGUAAAAAAACCCACCAAAAAGAGCAAAACGAAAAAGGCCUCAGUUGAAGUGGCAGCCAGGCCCCCUGUUCGCACACAGCACAGCCUGUGUUCUGCUGUGUCACAUCUCAGCCCUUCCUACCCAGCGCUCCCUGCCCGAGCUCUUCCAUGUCUUGCUCUUGCUAAGCAGUGUGAGCCGGAGUGAUGCAGCGAGGUUAGGGAGGAAUGAUGGAGUGUCUGUAACGCUUUAUGCCAGGGCUGCAGUGUGCUGUAGGUUGCCACGUCUGCAGGGAGCUGUCUGCUGAUGCUCGGCUGGAAAUCAGCCCAGGAGGGUCAGAUGCUGAACCUGUGAAGAAGAUCUGAUUAAUGGCACAAGCCACAGAAGACAGCAGAGCGUUCGAGCCAAAGCCUUCAGAAGAUACAACUUGAGCCUCUUUUUGUCACCUCCCAAACCAGAACCAUUAAAAGUUAUAAAUACUAAUGUUUCUACUGUCUGGAGAUUAUUUUUUUAUGAACGGGGCAGUUUUUGAACCUUGGAAGUGAAACAUUUCAUCCUGCAUCCAGAAUCAUAGUUUGACUGGAAGGCUGGAGUACGAAGUGAAUUGCUGCAGGGAGGAAAGGGAACUGAGGAAUGGAGAAAGGUCACAAAAGAGGAAGGUGUAGUUGCUUCCACUUUGUAACAGUGUUGCUAAAAGGCAUUAGCAGAAGUGGAAGAUCAAAGGGAAAUUGUAUUCACUGUACCCGAAGUAACUGAUCUUCUAAACCAUGCGGCUUCUGAGGUUGUUCCUCAGUGGGUUGAGGCCUCCUGUAGCCUUUGUUAGAGUAGGUUGUGAGAAUUCGUUGUUGCUCUGUGAUCAGGCUUGUGGGCUGAGAGCUGCUGCAAUCUGUGAAGAUGUCCUUGCACCGAGGGCUAAUGAGGAUGUUAACUGUGAGGAGGUACGUGGUGGGAAAGUGAGGACUGGAUAUUUAGAAUAAAAUUAUUUCUUAAACCA